Long non-coding RNA from Oncorhynchus tshawytscha (Chinook salmon), 360 nucleotides. The record is from Ensembl. NCBI's taxonomy places the organism in Eukaryota, Metazoa, Chordata, Actinopteri, Salmoniformes, Salmonidae.
GGAGGAGGAGGUAGUGGAGACAGAGGGAGGAGGAGGUAGUGGAGACAGAGGGAGGAGGAGGUGGUGGAGACAGAGGGAGGAGGAGGUAGUGGAGACAGAGGGAGUAGGAAGUGGAGACAGAGGGAGGAGGGAGUGGAGACAGAAGAGGAGGGAGUGGAGACAGAGGGAGGAGGAGGUAGUGGAGACAGUGGGAGGAGGUAGUGGAGACAGAGGCAGGUGCGAGUGGAGACAGAGGGAGGAGGAGGUGGUGGAGACAGAGGGAGGAGGAGGUAGUGGAGACAGAGGGAGUAGGAAGUGGAGACAGAGGGAGGAGGGAGUGGAGACAGAAGAGGAGGGAGUGGAGACAGAGGGGAGGAGGAG